GACAGUAGAGGUGAUGUGACAGAAGUGAUGGGAGGAGACAGUAGAGGCGACGGGAGGAGACAGUAGAGGAGACAGUAGAGGCGACGGGAAGAGACGGUAGAGGAGACGGGAGGAGACGGUAGAGGUGACGGGAGGAGACGGUAGAGGUGAUGUGACAGAAGUGAUGGGAGGAGACAGUAGAGGCGACGGGAGGAGACGGUAGAGGUGACGGGAGGAGGCGGGAAGAGACAGUAGAGGUGACGGGAGAUGACAGUAGAGGCGACGGGAGAUGACAGUAGAGGCGACGGGAGAUGACAGUAGAGGCGACGGGAGAUGACAGUAGAGGCGACGGGAGAUGACAGUAGAGGCGACGGGAGAUGACAGUAGAGGUGACGGGAGAUGACAGAGGUGACGGGAGAUGACAGAGGUGACGGGAGAUGACAGAGGUGACGGGAGAUGACAGAGGUGACGGGAGAUGACAGAGGUGACGGGAGAUGACGGGAGAUGACAGAGGUGACGGGAGAUGACAGAGGUGACGGGAGAUGACAGAGGUGACGGGAGAUGACGGGAGAUGACAGAGGUGACGGGAGAUGACAGUAGAGGUGACGGGAGAUGACAGUAGAGGUGACGGGAGAUGACAGUAGAGGUGACGGGAGAUGACAGUAGAGGUGACGGGAGAUGACAGAGGUGACAGGAGAUGACAGUAGAGGUGACGGGAGAUGACAGUAGAGAUGACGGGAGAUGACAGAGGUGACGGGAGAUGACAGUAGAGGUGACGGGAGAUGACAGUAGAGGUGACGGGAGAUGACAGUAGAGGUGACGGGAGAUGACAGAGGUGACGGGAGAUGACAGAGGUGACGGGAGAUGACAGAGGUGACGGGAGA
Molecule: long non-coding RNA, 863 nt
Organism: Oncorhynchus keta (chum salmon)
Lineage: Eukaryota; Metazoa; Chordata; Actinopteri; Salmoniformes; Salmonidae
Exons: 5
Source: RefSeq, a predicted model, not a curated record